Molecule: ribosomal RNA, 468 nt
Filed under: uncultured bacterium
Lineage: Bacteria
Description: partial 16S ribosomal RNA
Rfam family: Bacterial small subunit ribosomal RNA
Source: RNAcentral
GACGAACGCUGGCGGCGUGCUUAACACAUGCAAGUCGAACGGAAAGGCCCUGCUUUUGUGGGGUGCUCGAGUGGCGAACGGGUGAGUAACACGUGAGUAACCUGCCCUUGACUUUGGGAUAACUUCAGGAAACUGGGGCUAAUACCGGAAAGGAGCUCCUGCUGCAUGGUGGGGGUUGGAAAGUUUCGGCGGUUGGGGAUGGACUCGCGGCUUAUCAGCUUGUUGGUGGGGUAGUGGCUUACCAAGGCUUUGACGGGUAGCCGGCCUGAGAGGGUGACCGGCCACAUUGGGACUGAGAUACGGCCCAGACUCCUACGGGAGGCAGCGGUGGGGAAUAUUGCACAAUGGGCGGAAGCCUGAUGCAGCAACGCCGCGUGCGGGAUGACGGCCUUCGGGUUGUAAACCGCUUUCGCCUGUGACGAAGCGUGAGUGACGGUAAUGGGUAAAGAAGCACCGGCUAACUACGUG